This is a long non-coding RNA of Prunus persica (peach), 1213 nucleotides long. RefSeq lists it as uncharacterized. Lineage: Eukaryota; Viridiplantae; Streptophyta; Magnoliopsida; Rosales; Rosaceae. The record is from RefSeq and is a predicted model, not a curated record. The transcript has 4 exons.
AAUAAAAUCUAUUCGCGCUCUCCCUUUUUUCCCACUCUUUUCGCUAAAAAUGAAAAUCCCCAGAUCCCUUCAGAUCUCUAUCCCUCGGUGAGAUCGAGUAACGAUGCUUCGUCGGUGUGUGAGAUCAUUGAAUCAAAGCUGAUCUGCUCUCACUUUACAACCCUAAUUGCUAACAAGGAGGCUCGGUCCCGUCGCGAGAUCGUGACCGGAACGGCGGCAAGUAUGUGGUGGUUCUGAAUCCUGAUGGCGGCAGCUGAAGAUAAUUUAGGGUUUAUUCUUCGAUUUCAUUUGACUUGUGGGUAAUUAUUUAGGGUGUUUCGUUGAUUUGUACUGACGUUUCUUCAACUCGAUGAAUUCCGACCCUUCCAACCCUAGGUUUGAAUUCUUUGAUUUCCUUUGACUCGAAGGUAAUAAUGUAGGGUGUAUCUUAAAUUAGUUUUGACGUCUCCACAAAUCGAAGAAUUCGGACUCUUCCAAGCCUUGGUUUGAAUUCUUCGAUUUUCAUUGACGUGAGGGUAAUUAUUUUUGGUGUAUCUUAGAUUAAUUUUGACAUUUCCUCGUGUCCUCUUUACAUGGCAUUUAGGUAUGGCUGCUUCAUUUCCGCUUCUGAAGCUGCAAGAGAUGGUGGCAUUCUUAUUGGAGCUAUGCAUAAAUCAGAUGGUUAGUUUUCUUUCAGGUUCCUAUGAUUAUGUACGCUAUCUGGCUCCCCCCCCCUCCCCGCUGCUUUCAGGUAAUCACUCCUUCACUAUGUCAGGAGACCAUGGUAACAUCAUGAUCUGCAGCCAAUCUCUGGUAGAUGGCUACUGGUGCUCCUGACAUGGUGGAGAAGCGAUUACCUGAAGCAAAGAGGAGGGUAUGCAGGUACCGGUCAUUAUCAUAGGAAUCCUAGAAAGUUGCAUAACAGCCAACUUCAGUUCUGGAGCGGUCAAGUGCAGAUAUUAAUAAUGUUAGAUUGAAUGUACAAGGAGUUGGGAUUCUCAAAUAUAGUUACACAUCGUAGCGGAUAACAAGUAUGCUUGGACUUUUGCCCUUCACACUAUCGAAUUACCUGCCUCCAUCGAAUGUCAGCUCUGAGCGUGUAUGCCCAAUGCAUGAUUAUUCUUUGAUUAAUCGGUCCAAAUGUGUGUUGAAAUUUUGGUAAAAAUAAAUUCAGCACAAACCCACUAUAAGUAGUCAAAAGUCAUCAUCCCAUACAAUGGGUACAACACUGCAA